CAGGGCCCACUGUCCUCACACAGAGGCAGGAAUGAGCAGCGGGAGGAAUGCCCACUCUGAAGCAAGACACGGCGGCAUGAGCAUCUGAGCUCCGCCCUCCUAGCUGUGCCGUCUUGGUUGAAAAGCCUGAAGAGCAAAGCUGAGGUUUCUUGAGGAAGAAGAAAUUCUGCUUCAACAUGACAGCUCCUGCCUGAGACUUUCCAGCCUUCUGACUGCCCUGUGGAUUUUGAACCUGCCAGCCUCACCACCAUGGUAACGAGGAUGCUUUGAUGCUGUCAUAAUGUCGCAGGUCUUGCACUGCUCCCUGCUCGGUAGCUGAUUUUCACCCUGUGCCUCUUUGACAGUUCCUUGGGAAGGCUACCUGCCACCUCUGCAUCACCUGAGGCACUGUCACCUAUGCAUACUUUGCUGAUUUUUGUGAGUCAAAACUGAACCUCAAGAACAUACGAUAAUGGGAGAGAGACCACAGAGAGCUGAACCUCAUUCUGACUGAGCAAAGGCCCUAUGAGAAGGUGGUUCACUGGCUGAGAACUUACGAUGUACUUACAUCGACUGUACCCACUUUGUAUAAGAAAACUGGUUUUUGCUGGCCAAACAGGUUGAAUGUUGGUAAUUACAUAUGCUUCACCCUAAUACUCUUCCUCACUAUAAAAGAUCUAUAAAUAUUUUAAAAUAAAAAUAUUUCUGUGAUGA
Aethalodelphis obliquidens (Pacific white-sided dolphin) is the source of this 693-nucleotide long non-coding RNA. RefSeq lists it as uncharacterized. Lineage: Eukaryota; Metazoa; Chordata; Mammalia; Artiodactyla; Delphinidae. The record is from RefSeq and is a predicted model, not a curated record. The transcript is spliced from 3 exons.